UGGGGAAUUUUUGACAAUGGGGGCAACCCUGAUCCAGCAAUGCCGCGUGUGUGAAGAAGGCCUUCGGGUUGUAAAGCACUUUUGUCCGGGAAGAAAUCGCACCUGAUAAUACCGGGUGUGGAUGACGGUACCGGAAGAAUAAGGACCGGCUAACUACGUGCCAGCAGCCGCGGUAAUACGUAGGGUCCAAGCGUUAAUCGGAAUUACUGGGCGUAAAGCGUGCGCAGGCGGUUGUGCAAGACCGAUGUGAAAUCCCCGGGCUUAACCUGGGAAUUGAAUUGGUGAGUGCACGGCUAGAGUGUGUCAGAGGGGUGUAGAAUUCCACGUGUAGCAGUGAAAUGCGUAGAGAUGUGGAGGAAUACCGAUGGCGAAGGCAGCCCCCUGGGAUAACACUGACGCUCAUGCACGAAAGCGUGGGGAGCAAACAGG
This 429-nucleotide ribosomal RNA is filed under the name Bacillota bacterium. RNAcentral's name for it is "Firmicutes bacterium partial 16S ribosomal RNA". It matches the Rfam family "Bacterial small subunit ribosomal RNA", at positions 355 to 776 of the family's 1533-position model. Lineage: Bacteria; Bacillati; Bacillota. The record is from RNAcentral.